Long non-coding RNA from Macaca mulatta (Rhesus monkey), 587 nucleotides. RefSeq lists it as uncharacterized. Lineage: Eukaryota; Metazoa; Chordata; Mammalia; Primates; Cercopithecidae. The record is from RefSeq and is a predicted model, not a curated record.
GACUCCAUCUCAACAGCAAGUAAAUAAAUUCAUAUUAUUUUCAAUGCACAUAUUUAUUAAGUUCCUGCUCUCUGCAGGCCACUGUGUCUUUGACCAAGGAUUCAGGUAGGGACACGGCAGUGAACAAUACAAAUUUGCUCUUGCCCUCAAACAUCUUGUGUUAGGUAGGAUAACAUGGGCUACAAGUUGGAGAAAAUGUGACUGCAAUUGGUUUAAACAACAAAGGACCAGUGUUACUGGCUGAAGUGACAGAAAAGUUCAGAGACAUUUUAGACUCAAGUGAGCCUGCAUAGACAAGCUUGAGGUCUCACCAAAGAUCCAGCUUCUUUUCAUUUCUUCUCUCUGCAGAAGAGGUUUGUUGCAGUGCUUAUUAUAAUCAUAUAAAAUAGGAAACAACAUGUGUCCAACAAUAGAGAAACGGUGUGGCCCAGGGAAGCCAAAAGAUUGAACACUCCUGAUUUAGAAGAAACCGUUGGUCCUAGGGAAUGAGGAAGAGACAGAUUCUGGUUCCAAUAUCCUUCUUAUGGAAGAGUCAAAUGCCAGCUAUAUUAUCGUUGCCAUCAGCAAUAAAUAAUCUCAUCCAUUCA